This 784-nucleotide ribosomal RNA is filed under the name uncultured bacterium. Its description in RNAcentral is "bacterial SSU rRNA". It matches the Rfam family "Bacterial small subunit ribosomal RNA", at positions 28 to 776 of the family's 1533-position model. The record is from RNAcentral.
AUUGAACGCUGGCGGCAGGCCUAACACAUGCAAGUCGAGCGGCAGCGACUUAACUGAACCUUCGGGGAACGUUAAGGGCUGACGAGCGGCGGACGGGUGAGUAAUGCCUGGGAAUAUGCCCUGAUGUGGGGGAUAACUAUUGGAAACGAUAGCUAAUACCGCAUAAUCUCCGAUCUUUUACGAGAUGGGAGCAAAGAGGGGGACCUUCGGGCCUCUCGCGUCAGGAUUAGCCCAGGUGGGAUUAGCUUGUUGGUGAGGUAAUGGCUCACCAAGGCAACGAUCCCUAGCUGGUCUGAGAGGAUGAUCAGCCACACUGGAACUGAGACACGGUCCAGACUCCUACGGGAGGCAGCAGUGGGGAAUAUUGCACAAUGGGGGAAACCCUGAUGCAGCCAUGCCGCGUGUGUGAAGAAGGCCUUCGGGUUGUAAAGCACUUUCAGUAGGGAGGAAGAUAGUGUAGUUAACACCUGCAUUAUUUGACGUUACCUACAGAAGAAGCACCGGCUAACUCCGUGCCAGCAGCCGCGGUAAUACGGAGGGUGCGAGCGUUAAUCGGAAUUACUGGGCGUAAAGCGCAUGCAGGCGGCCUGUUAAGUCAGAUGUGAAAGCCCGGGGCUUAACCUCGGAAUUGCAUUUGAAACUGGUAGGCUAGAGUCUUGUAGAGGGGGGUAGAAUUUCAGGUGUAGCGGUGAAAUGCGUAGAGAUCUGAAGGAAUACCAGUGGCGAAAGCGGCCCCCUGGACAAAGACUGACGCUCAGAUGCGAAAGCGUGGGGAGCAAACAGG